RNAcentral lists this ribosomal RNA (1549 nucleotides) under Actinotignum sanguinis. RNAcentral's name for it is "bacterial SSU rRNA". It matches the Rfam family "Bacterial small subunit ribosomal RNA". Lineage: Bacteria; Bacillati; Actinomycetota; Actinomycetes; Actinomycetales; Actinomycetaceae. The record is from RNAcentral.
UUUGUGGAGAGUUUGAUCCUGGCUCAGGACGAACGCUGGCGGCGUGCUUAACACAUGCAAGUCGAACGAUGAAGCUUACAACUUGUUGUGGGUGGAUUAGUGGCGAACGGGUGAGUAAUACGUGAGUAACCUGCCCUCCUUUUUGGGAUAAGCCUUGGAAACGGGGUCUAAUACCGGAUAUUCUGGCAUGCUCGCAUGGGUGUGUUGGGAAAGCUUUAUGUGAAGGGGGAUGGGCUCGCGGCCUAUCAGCUUGUUGGUGGGGUGAUGGCCUACCAAGGCGGUGACGGGUAGCCGGCCUGAGAGGGUGACCGGCCACAUUGGGACUGAGAUACGGCCCAGACUCCUACGGGAGGCAGCAGUGGGGGAUAUUGCACAAUGGGCGAAAGCCUGAUGCAGCGACGCCGCGUGGGGGAUGAAGGCUUUCGGGUUGUAAACCUCUUUCGCUAUCGAACAAGGCUCAUUUUUUGGUGGGUUGAGGGUAGGUGGAGAAGAAGCGCCGGCUAACUACGUGCCAGCAGCCGCGGUAAUACGUAGGGCGCGAGCGUUGUCCGGAAUUAUUGGGCGUAAAGGGCUUGUAGGCGGCUUGUUGCGCCUGCUGUGAAAACGCGGGGCUUAACUUCGCGCGUGCAGUGGGUACGGGCAGGCUUGAGUGUGGUAGGGGUGACUGGAAUUCCAGGUGUAGCGGUGGAAUGCGCAGAUAUCUGGAGGAACACCGAUGGCGAAGGCAGGUCACUGGGCCAUUACUGACGCUGAGGAGCGAAAGCAUGGGUAGCGAACAGGAUUAGAUACCCUGGUAGUCCAUGCUGUAAACGUUGGGAACUAGGUGUGGGGGGCCUUUCCAGGUUUUCUGCGCCGUAGCUAACGCAUUAAGUUCCCCGCCUGGGGAGUACGGCCGCAAGGCUAAAACUCAAAGGAAUUGACGGGGGCCCGCACAAGCGGCGGAGCAUGCGGAUUAAUUCGAUGCAACGCGAAGAACCUUACCAAGGCUUGACAUACACCGCGGGGCUGCAGAGAUGUGGUUGCAUUUAGUUGGUGGUGUACAGGUGGUGCAUGGUUGUCGUCAGCUCGUGUCGUGAGAUGUUGGGUUAAGUCCCGCAACGAGCGCAACCCUUGUCUCGUGUUGCCAGCAUGUUGUGGUGGGGACUCACGAGAGACUGCCGGGGUUAACUCGGAGGAAGGUGGGGAUGACGUCAAAUCAUCAUGCCCCUUAUGUCUUGGGCUUCACGCAUGCUACAAUGGCCGGUACAGAGGGUUGCGAUAUCGUGAGGUGGAGCGAAUCCCUUAAAGCUGGUCUCAGUUCGGAUCGGGGUCUGCAACUCGACCUCGUGAAGUCGGAGUCGCUAGUAAUCGCGGAUCAGCAUUGCCGCGGUGAAUACGUUCCCGGGCCUUGUACACACCGCCCGUCACGUCACGAAAGUUGGUAACACCCGUAGCUCGUGGCCUAACCAUUUUUGGGGGGAGCGGUCGAAGGUGGGGCUGGCGAUUGGGACGAAGUCGUAACAAGGUAGCCGUACCGGAAGGUGCGGCUGGAUCACCUCCUUUCUAAGGA